GAUGAACGCUGGCGGCGUGCCUAAUACAUGCAAGUCGAGCGAACGGACGAGAAGCUUGCUUCUCUGACGUUAGCGGCGGACGGGUGAGUAACACGUGGAUAACCUACCUAUAAGACUGGGAUAACUUCGGGAAGCCGGAGCUAAUACCGGAUAAUAUUUUGAACCGCAUGGUUCAAAAGUGAAAGACGGUCUUGCUGUCACUUAUAGAUGGAUCCGCGCUGCAUUAGCUAGUUGGUAAGGUAACGGCUUACCAAGGCAACGAUGCAUAGCCGACCUGAGAGGGUGAUCGGCCACACUGGAACUGCGACACGGUCCAGACUCCUACGGGAGGCAGCAGUAGGGAAUCUUCCGCAAUGGGCGAAAGCCUGACGGAGCAACGCCGCGUGAGUGAUGAAGGUCUUCGGAUCGUAAAACUCUGUUAUUAGGGAAGAACAUAUGUGUAAGUAACUGUGCACAUCUUGACGGUACCUAAUCAGAAAGCCACGGCUAACUACGUG
This 497-nucleotide ribosomal RNA is filed under the name uncultured bacterium. RNAcentral's name for it is "partial 16S ribosomal RNA". It matches the Rfam family "Bacterial small subunit ribosomal RNA", at positions 28 to 507 of the family's 1533-position model. The record is from RNAcentral.